GAUGAACGCUGGCGGCGUUCCUAAUACAUGCAAGUCGAGCGAACGGACGAGAAGCUUGCUUCUCUGAUGUUAGCGGCGGACGGGUGAGUAACGCGUGGAUAACCUACCUAUAAGACUGGGAUAACUUCGGGAAACCGUAGCUAAUACCGGAUAAUAUUUUGAACCGCAUGGUUCAAAAGUGAAAGACGGUCUUGCUGUCACUUAUAGAUGGAUCCGCGCUGCAUUAGCUAGUUGGUAAGGUAACGGCUUACCAAGGCAACGAUGCAUAGCCGACCUGAGAGGGUGAUCGGCCACACUGGAACUGAGACACGGUCCAGACUCCUACGGGAGGCAGCAGUAGGGAAUCUUCCGCAAUGGGCGAAAGCCUGACGGAGCAACGCCGCGUGAGUGAUGAAGGUCUUCGGAUCGUAAAACUCUGUUAUUAGGGAAGAACAUAUGUGUAAGUAACUGUGCACAUCUUGACGGUACCUAAUCAGAAAGCCACGGCUAACUACGUG
Molecule: ribosomal RNA, 497 nt
Filed under: uncultured bacterium
Lineage: Bacteria
Description: partial 16S ribosomal RNA
Rfam family: Bacterial small subunit ribosomal RNA
Source: RNAcentral